This is a non-coding RNA of Oryza sativa Japonica Group (Japanese rice), 2204 nucleotides long. Lineage: Eukaryota; Viridiplantae; Streptophyta; Magnoliopsida; Poales; Poaceae. The record is from RefSeq and is a predicted model, not a curated record.
GCUCCCUCCGUAUCAAUCCAACGGCCCACGUCGCUCCCACCUCCCUCACCCCACCGCGCCCUCUCUUCGCCGUCUGACCCGUCAGCCACCAUGCGCCGUCUCCGCCCCCCACGAAGCUUGCGGCUCGGGUCCGUCUCGCCACCGCCGCCAUCGUUCCGCUGCUCAGGGCCGGGCCGACGCACCGCUGUCCCGUGCCGCCACCACCGUAUUCGUCGCUCGGGUCUUUCUCCGCCGUCUCCACCCGCUCGGGACCGCCGCGAAUCGUCGCCCACCUCGCCGUCCCCUAUCUCCACCGCAAGAACACCGUCGGCAGCCUCGGCGGUCUACUCUGCGCCGGUCUCCUCCGCGUCAUCUCCUCGCUCGUGCCGCCUCUGCCAUCCCCUCCGUUCAGCACCCCCCCUCCUCCCCCCGUCUUCCCUUCCGUCCUUCCGUCCAUCCAGCGCGCUGGCGAUCCUCCACCCAGGGCCUGGCGUCCCAUCGAUGAUUUAGGGCGUCGCGGGUCCUCCGUUCAGGGCACCACCGGCCAUCCGUCCAGUGCACGGUCUCCCCAAUCCAGCAUACAGGUGCUACUUCCCCUCAGCGCCAGGAAAUAUUGGAUCAAUUGCAAGGACAUGUGUGCAGCGUGAGCAGUUGGUGUGCAUCUUAUCGGGGUUAAGUGCAAAUGGACACCAUCAAAUUGCCAAUUUGCCAUGAUCUUGGUGCGUGUAUGGAAUCAAGUAGAAUGGUAGUCUCCUGCAAUUGCUCCACGAUGACUGAAUCCACGCGGAAGGCUGUCCAUUUUUGGCAGUUCAGACUUAGAGAGAGGUUAGCAUUGGCCUAUUCUUUGGAUAGGUUUAGGUCAUUUAUGUGUUGAGUAAAAUUUGGCUAAGAAGCUACGGCAUAUCUGUUUUACGAAUGGAAAAAAUGUAGCUAUUUUUUCAUGUGUCCUUGUUGCUUGAUUGGUCAGGCAAGUUGCCAAGUUAUUGCUCCGUAUUGCAAAUUCAUCUUGGUACCAUAUUAACUUUGACAAUCUGCUUUUUUUGGUGUAUCAAUAAAUCAAGUAAAUAAUGAUGCAAUGAACUCUUCUGAUGGACAAGCAACAGAAAAUUUACUUGAUAACUAUAUUGUUUGGACGUAUGUUCUGGCCAAUAAUCUUGAUUCCUUCUUAUAUCAGUCCAUCCUUAUCCUUGACGCCUUAUCAGUACACUGUAAUGCUCAUACUGAUUGUGCUGGCUGAGACCUAGGCGGGGGCCAAGGCCUUCAUUUAGGUCAGUACACACCGCCUCAGGAGGUUUAUUCCUUGUCCGGUACAUAUGGUUGGGAUGUUGGAUCCAUUUCAUUUAUUUCUGCAGGAUGAGAUUGUGAACAAUGGAUUAUCUGUUAUUAGGCUUGGGAUGCUGGUCUGAUGCAAAUUACUGUAGAUUAUUCAAGUCAAAGUUACUAUAGUUUUUUUUUACUGUUGGAGUUCUGUUUCAGUGCCAAAUAUUCGCUGAGCAUGAUGUUGUGUUGCAGUGGUGCCCUAAUUGCGAUUUCAAUGGGAUGUUCUAGACAGAUGUGUGGAGUGGGGUGGAGGAGAAGCGUAGUCGAUGAUGGUGAAACACAGCGUGUUUGAGGAACAAGGUGAUCGACUUGAAGGGCGUUGCCAGCAACCAGGCUGCUUCUUUGAACACCUUGGUUAGGUUCAUCGGGAUAUUGGCAGAACCGCCGUUGCUGGUGGCCACGACUGCAACAAUGGUAGCAGGGUGUUCUUGAUCUGGUCAGACGCUAGCUUCCGGAACCACACGAUUGAGCACGUAUUGUCGAGGGUGGCAGCGAUGAGGUUGACAUUUGUAGGGGAGGUGGAGCUGGCACCAGAACCUACCUUAGGAGCACUCCUCCCGAUGCUAGUGGCUGUCGCCCUUCCACUCCUCCUGUAGUCGCCAAGCUGUCGCAUCCGGUUCUACGCCACCUUCAUCCGCAUGUCCUCCUUCCUCAUCUCCGGCAAGUCAACAAUAAUCUCGUGCGCGUAGCUAGCCAGCAUCGUCGGUCUGAUUCGAGAGUUACAUUUUGUUUUGAUUCAAUGUUCUGAUUUGAGUGUUUCAUUUUGUUUUGUUUUCAUGUUUCAUCCAUUGAUUUCUUGGUGUUGCAAUUAGUAUGGAUGUUGUAUCUGACUGAAAUACUUUCGAUCAAGCGAUGAAAUAUUUUUUCCUACUUGAUGAAACAUCUGAAAUUUUUUUGUUGAAACA